RNAcentral lists this ribosomal RNA (497 nucleotides) under uncultured bacterium. Its description in RNAcentral is "partial 16S ribosomal RNA". It matches the Rfam family "Bacterial small subunit ribosomal RNA", at positions 28 to 507 of the family's 1533-position model. The record is from RNAcentral.
GAUGAACGCUGGCGGCGUGCCUAAUACAUGCAAGUCGAGCGAACAGACGAGGAGCUUGCUCCUCUGACGUUAGCGGCGGACGGGUGAGUAACACGUGGAUAACCUACCUAUAAGACUGGGAUAACUUCGGGAAACCGGAGCUAAUACCGGAUAAUAUAUUGAACCGCAUGGUUCAAUAGUGAAAGACGGUUUUGCUGUCACUUAUAGAUGGAUCCGCGCCGCAUUAGCUAGUUGGUAAGGUAACGGCUUACCAAGGCAACGAUGCGUAGCCGACCUGAGAGGGUGAUCGGCCACACUGGAACUUAGACACGGUCCAGACUCCUACGGGAGGCAGCAGUCGGGAAUCUUCCGCAAUGGGCGAAAGCCUGACGGAGCAACGCCGCGUGAGUGAUGAAGGUCUUCGGAUCGUAAAACUCUGUUAUUAGGGAAGAACAAAUGUGUAAGUAACUAUGCACGUCUUGACGGUACCUAAUCAGAAAGCCACGGCUAACUACGUG